UGGAAUGAGGUGUUGGUUUUAAGCCC
This 26-nucleotide non-coding RNA is filed under the name Homo sapiens (human). Lineage: Eukaryota; Metazoa; Chordata; Mammalia; Primates; Hominidae. The record is from RNAcentral.